Molecule: small nuclear RNA, 104 nt
Organism: Mustela putorius furo (domestic ferret)
Lineage: Eukaryota; Metazoa; Chordata; Mammalia; Carnivora; Mustelidae
Source: Ensembl
AUACUCACUUUGUCAGCAUAUAUACUAAAAUUGGAACACAGAGAAGAUUAGCAUGGCCCUUGUGCAAAGAUGACACAUAGAUUCAUAGAGCAUUCCAUAUUUGG